GACGAACGCUGGCGGCGUGCUUAACACAUGCAAGUCGAACGGAAAGGCCCUGCUUUUGUGGGGUGCUCGAGUGGCGAACGGGUGAGUAACACGUGAGUAACCUGCCCUUGACUUUGGGAUAACUUCAGGAAACUGGGGCUAAUACCGGAUAGGAGCUCCUGCUGCAUGGUGGGGGUUGGAAAGUUUCGGCGGUUGGGGAUGGACUCGCGGCUUAUCAGCUUGUUGGUGGGGUAGUGGCUUACCAAGGCUUUGACGGGUAGCCGGCCUGAGAGGGUGACCGGCCACAUUGGGACUGAGAGACGGCCCAGAAGCCUACGGGAGGCAGCAGUGGGGAAUAUUGCACAAUGGGCGGAAGCCUGAUGCAGCAACGCCGCGUGCGGGAUGACGGCCUUCGGGUUGUAAACCGCUUUCGCCUGUGACGAAGCGUGAGUGACGGUAAUGGGUAAAGAAGCACCGGCUAACUACGUG
Molecule: ribosomal RNA, 468 nt
Filed under: uncultured bacterium
Lineage: Bacteria
Description: partial 16S ribosomal RNA
Rfam family: Bacterial small subunit ribosomal RNA
Source: RNAcentral